GACGAACGCUGGCGGCGUGCUUAACACAUGCAAGUCGAACGGAGUUAAGGAGCUUGCUUCUUAACUUAGUGGCGAACGGGUGAGUAACGCGUGAGCAACCUGCCUUUGCAUUCGGGAUAACAGCCGGAAACGACUGCUAAUACCGAAUAACGUAUACGAGUUGCAUGUCUUGUAUACCAAAGAUCCGUCGUGCAAAGAUGGGCUCGCGUCUGAUUAGAUAGUUGGUGAGGUAACGGCUCACCAAGUCAACGAUCAGUAGCCGGUCUGAGAGGAUGAACGGCCACAUUGGGACUGAGAUACGGCCCAGACUCCUACGGGAGGCAGCAGUGGGGAAUAUUGGGCAAUGGGGGAAACCCUGACCCAGCAACGCCGCGUGAAGGAAGAAGGCCUUCGGGUUGUAAAC
RNAcentral lists this ribosomal RNA (403 nucleotides) under uncultured bacterium. RNAcentral's name for it is "bacterial SSU rRNA". It matches the Rfam family "Bacterial small subunit ribosomal RNA", at positions 28 to 430 of the family's 1533-position model. The record is from RNAcentral.